This is a long non-coding RNA of Pyrus x bretschneideri (Chinese white pear), 4413 nucleotides long. RefSeq lists it as uncharacterized. Lineage: Eukaryota; Viridiplantae; Streptophyta; Magnoliopsida; Rosales; Rosaceae. The transcript has 3 exons. The record is from RefSeq and is a predicted model, not a curated record.
CACCUUCACUCUCUAACUUAUCCGCCAAACUCUUUGACCUCACCUCACCUUCACUUCCUUCCCUACCUACUCAUGUACUCCUUUCAGUUCAGAUCCACAAAUCUCUCUCUCCCUCCACUCUUUCACUCUCUCCCCUUUACCUUCAUACUACAUCCAAACUCCAGUCUUCCAUUUUCUUUUUGCAUUGGACAACUUCCUCUACAUUUGAUAAUCAAUACAGCCACCUCUACUUCCUUCUACUUCUCUCUUCCUUAAGCAUCAAUGCUGGAAAUAGCAGGCUAAGGGUGGAUUCUGGAUGGAUUCCUCGUCGACCUGUUAUUUUUCUUUUUAAUGGGGCUGAAGAGCUUUUCUUGUUGGUGGUUCCUUCGGCAAAGUAGGUUGCUUCAAGGCUGCUUAUGUCAAGAUCAAUUGCGAUGAAUUGUUUUGGGAUUUCAUCGAGACAUACAAACAUGCAAUUCCAUAAGGGGUUCGCAUCAAGUGGGUAAAGGAUGAUAGUAGCCAUAAACCAUGUAGUGAAGUUGCCAAGGCUUGGAAUAGAGCUAUCAAAUUCCAUCCAUACUACUUUGUGUGGGGAUUCACUUUUCCCACGUCGUGCUUUUCCAAGAGGUGAUAUGUUACAUGAAGUGCAGGCCUGCUCAAUGUUCCCCGAAUGCUUGCGUAAUGGUGGAGUUCGCAAACUUAAACAAGUUCUUUGAUCUAGGCUUGACCAUUAAUGAGUUAUGGUACUUUUUCAAGAUUGGCCAUAAGGAAAGUGUGGGGCAAUUGAGGUCUCACUAGAGGUUGUUUAAUGCUUCCUGCAAAGGUGAUCAUGAGUAGGUGAGAGAUACCUUAGAGGUUAGCGAGGAAUGAGAGUUCAACUCCUCGCCUGAGCUACGCGUUCUGAUUGAAAUUAUCAAUGGUAAGUAAAUUGCUUCAUUCUUGGUCUGCUUGGAAUUUUGGUUGAGCUGCCCUCGACUUUAAUUUAUUGAUCAUCCUUCUUACUUUGUCUAGAUUCAAAAUUUGGCUCAACUCCAAGAACUUCAUCGAUUGAGAAAAAGCCGAAGACUUUUUCUGCUGCUUGUGAAGGCCCAUUUGCUACUAAAAAGCUUGUCAUUGAUCUGACUUAUCCCAAAGGGGAGAAAAACAUUGUUAAGUCUAACCUUGCAAAAUCUGUUGCUCUGAAGGUGGCCACGACCAUUGCCGAGAGGAUUGCUCAGCGUAAGGGUUCUAUGGUGCCCCUAAUGUCUAGGUUUGUAUCGAAACAUCCGUUUGGAGCCAAGUCUGGUUUGGCUUUUGAGAAACUCGCCACUAUGAAGAGUGGAAAUGUGGAUUCUGCUGCUAAGGUGGCACUAGGGCCUGUUCAUCAUACAUAUAUGACUGAUUCGUUUGUUGAGAAGGAGAAGUCUACUCAUGUGGACAGUUAUGAAAAGUCCACCAAAUCUGUUUAUGAGGAAUUUCCCGAGAUUUGUGCACUGCUGAAAGUUGACUUGUUUGAGGACGUUAAUGUAUACACCAAGUUUGUUAAUAGUGUUGUGAAGGUAUUUCGCUCAAACUAUUUUAAGGAGCAUCCUGCCUAUUCAAGAAUGUCUUCCCUGCUUACUACUAUGCAAAAUAUUUUGAUCUUGGUAGUUGAGUCCAUGCGAUUGAUCUGGAUGCUACUAAAGUUGCCAAGGAGGUCAAGGCGGUGUUGAUGGCUCAACUUAGCUUAGCUGCUAAAAAGAUUGAAAAACUCAAAUAUGAACUCGCUAUUUUGAAGGGUAUGAUGUCUCUACCCCCACUUUUGUUCAGUUGGAAACCAUUCACUAGGAAGUUGGCAGUUUGAAAGCUAAGCUUAAUGCGAUUGGGGCGAUGUUGGAAGCUACAAAAAAGGAAGUUGAUUGGUUUGCACCAAUGGUUCAGGACUUUGAGUGUGUCGACUUGUUAUGCCAAGGACAAGAAUUUAUCUUCCCGCCUAAUUGUCGAUGCAAAUUUCCUCCUUGUUCUUGGACAAAAUUGCACCUACAAAACAAAUAACAGCUUAAGUCAAGGCCAAGAGCCUUACACACCCACGAUGAUUUUUGGGGGGGGGGGUUUGGCCGAAGAACCUCCAAUACCAAAGUUAGAAUUUUGAGGGAAAAGUGUUUGGAGAAUUUAGCAAGAGGAUUCAACUUGGGUUUUUGGAGAAAAUGGGGUGAUAUUUAUAAGGAUGUGGCCGGCCGCUUUGGGAGAGAUGGGGACCAGCCACUUAUGUGGUUUUUUGGGUGUGAUUCACAAUUUAUUAGCUAAUUAAUAAAUUAAUUGAGUAAUAAAUCAAUUAAUUAGCUAAUUAAUAUAAUUUGAAAGGAAUGAUUUGGGGGUUACCUUAUGGAGAGGAUUUAAUGAGGAUAGAUAAAAUAGGUUUUGAAUAAUUAUCUAUUUUGGCACUUUUGACCUUGAUUGAAUUAUGAUUGUCCAUUGCUUGCGUGUAGGAGUUCCAGUAUUCAUCAAGGGUAAUUUUGUCAUUUUCACCCUAGAAUCCACGUGUCGCCUCCAUAUUUUUCUCAAUUAUUUUUGGCUCCACAAUAAUGAAGUGUCUUGUCUCAAGGAUGUUGCCAGUAAGCUUGAAUCCAAGGAAGUGGAAUUGCAAGGUACGUUGUCUGAUAGCGAGAACCUGAAUCAUGAAUUAGAUAAGUUGUAGGAUUGUCACACUAGUCUUGUUAAAGAGAAUGAGCAGCUGAAAAAUGAGAGGGUCAGUCACGACGUUGCACUUUCUUCUUGUCAGACUGAUUUCUACAAGCUUGGCUAUGUAGACUAUUUCUAGGGUAGGCCGUUGAAUUAUGAAUUUUCCAAGAAAGAAUUCGGGACUCACUCCAUUUUUCCAGUGAAUCUGCCUAACUUCUCAUUGAGGCUACCUUUGGUGGAGCAAUUGAGGGUGAGACUGUCCAGGCAGAGGCGACUAAGGAUGAAAUGAUGGAAUCUUUGGCUAUUGAGAGCGGUAUGGUUGCUGAAGGCAUGACAAUCGAGGAUCCAAUGAUCGUGCAGGUUGUCAAUGAGUAGUCUUCCUACUCAGACUUAGGAAUUUUCUUGUUUCUUUCCUUUUGCUCUGCUUUGUUUAAACUUUGUUGGCAUUUGAGCUAGUUUAUCAAUUUGCUAGAAAUUUAAUAAACUACUUACUUUGCUUUACUUAAUUCUUGCAAUUUCGCUAUGUUUUUGCAAAACUUUACCGUAGGAUGGGUGGUUGGGCGAGCUGCUUUGAUGAAGCAAUCGAUCCCAUGCAACCACUUUAGGUUUUAGUUUUGGCUUGAGGGCUUCAAGAGCCUUGCUUGCUUGGGGCGAUUUGCAAAACUUUGCCAUAAGACGAGUGGCUGGGCAAGUUGCUUCGACAAAGCAAUUGAUCCCACAUCGUCACUUUAGGCUUGACUCUUGGCUUUGAUGCUUCAAGUGCCUUGCCUACUUGAGAUAAUUUGUAAGACUUUGCCAUAGGACGGGCGGCUGGGCGAGCUGCUUCGACGAAGCAGUUGAAUCGACGUCGUCACUUUAGGCUUUAGUCUGUCUUUACUAGUUCCCAGUAUUCAUGUUCUAUUGCAAAAAUGCUAAUAUGAUUUUUCAUCUUUAAACACUUAGGAAAAAUUGUUCUGGACAACAAUGUUCCCACGAUGAUUUUCAUCAAUGGGGACAUACCAAAAGCAGCCCCUUACAAAUGAAUAGGCUUCUCAGAAGUCUCAAAUAAGUAUAACGUUUAUUUAAUAUGUUGAAAUUGAUUGUGAAUGUAAAAAAAAAAUAAAAAAUUAAGUAUAUGUGAUAAUUUUUAAGUUUUGCACCAAAACCUAUUAACUAUUCGACCUAUUAACCAUUUGGAACAAGUCUUUUGAUUCAUACUUCAGCAACGCAGGUUUGAAUUUUAUAGAGCUAUGUUUUAUGAAUUUGUUUUCAUGAUUAUUAUCCGGUUUAGAGUUAUUGUUAAUUAACGAAGAAUUGUUUCAAUUAGGGUUAUCUGAAUUAUAAAUUUGAACUAUGGGUGAAAUGGAUUUGUGUUGGUGCUAUGCAAAUUGUUAAGAUUGUUGAAGGUACAAGUGACCAUUAUUUUGAUUGAUAUUGAUAUCAUGUGCCUACGGAAGACGCACCUUUUCAAGAUCCUGCAACUGCUGAGUUUGUUCCCUUGGAGACAAAGACAUGCGUGCUGCCAUUGAGAGUAAUUCUAAGGAUGAAGAUUUAGAAAAUGAUGCUGUCUCCUAUCCGAACAAGGUCCAGAAGAAGCUGAUCCAACUCAAACUUAGACUCUGCAGCAUCAACCAUACCUUUGUACUUAUCUCUGCAGCAUCAACCAUGCUUUUGUGCUCUAGGUUUCAAGAUAGUUUGCCGCUUGAGGCUCCUGGAAUCUACUCAUUAAACAAAUUUGAUGUUUCGAUUCCACUGGUUUUACUUUGUACAGAAAAUUAAAUGGGUGAAUGUAAAUGAAAUUUAAUCUUGCCAUCA